CAAAGGCUUGGUCCUGACUUUAUCAUCAGCUUCAGCCGAACUUACACAUGCAAGUAUCCGCACCCCUGUGAGAAUGCCCUCAGUGCCUGCCUGAAAGGUGGG
RNAcentral lists this ribosomal RNA (102 nucleotides) under Notothenia coriiceps (black rockcod). RNAcentral describes it as "partial 12S ribosomal RNA". The record is from RNAcentral. Lineage: Eukaryota; Metazoa; Chordata; Actinopteri; Perciformes; Nototheniidae.